Molecule: ribosomal RNA, 253 nt
Filed under: uncultured bacterium
Lineage: Bacteria
Description: partial 16S ribosomal RNA
Rfam family: Bacterial small subunit ribosomal RNA
Source: RNAcentral
AACGUAGGUGGCGAGCGUUAUCCGGAAUUACUGGGCGUAAAGGGCGCGUAGGCGGCCCACUAAGUCAGACGUGAAAUCCCCCGGCUUAACCUGGGAACUGCGUCUGAUACUGGAGGGCUUGAGUAUGGGAGAGGGAUGUAGAAUUCCAGGUGUAGCGGUGAAAUGCGUAGAUAUCUGGAGGAAUACCGGUGGCGAAGGCGGCAUCCUGGACCAUUACUGACGCUGAGGAGCGAAAGCCAGGGGAGCAAACGGG